Anastrepha ludens (Mexican fruit fly) is the source of this 1961-nucleotide long non-coding RNA. RefSeq lists it as uncharacterized. The record is from RefSeq and is a predicted model, not a curated record. The transcript is spliced from 3 exons. NCBI's taxonomy places the organism in Eukaryota, Metazoa, Arthropoda, Insecta, Diptera, Tephritidae.
GCUUGUUCUGCUCAUUGAGAGAAAUUGGCUCUUGAUUUGGAUUGAUGGCAAAUUUUGUUAUCGAACACAACUAAAUAUUUUCUGAAAAAUUAACCGAACAAACCCAAUGGCAAACAUUGUAUUGGCGAGUUGUAAAGCUUUUAUGCGAUAUUUAAAUAUAAAUAAAAAGCAUUGCAUACAUUUUAAUUUGUUAGAUUAAAAAGAGACAAGUAUAAAAGAAUAUAUGGAAUGGAAGUGUAAUUAGGUUUUUUUUAAACUUUGUUUCAACAUUUCUGUAUUAUGGCCAUCAACAAAAUCAGUAUAUAAAAGGAAAUUAAAAGCGAUACCAGAUUUUUACUAGAAAUAGACACAUUGGGCAAUUCAACGAGGUAUUCAUAAGCAAAUAAAACAAUUUUCCGGUUUCUCUAAUUACCAGUAAAUACUGGAGCACUUUAAGUGGCCUAAGCAAAUGUGGUGAACACUUUAAAGGAAAAAUAGAUAAUAGAAAUAAUAGAAAAAUUCUGUAGCUUAUUUUGAUAAGAUUUACAAACAUAAUUUAAUGGUUCCAAUUUAUAAUUUAAAACGCACCGCUCCCAAUGCACUUCACACAACACAUUGAUAUUAUGACGCACUCGUUUGAACAGCUGGGUGGCAAAAUAAAGAAGCAAAAGUAACGGACCUACAUAAACGCCAUCUCCAAAGAAGGUUAAAUACAAGGCGAAUUCAUAUAAAGUGAUUUUGAGGUGGUUUGAAUGUCAAACAGGUCUGUUUUUUUUUUUGUUGUUGUUUUGGUUGUUUGUGUACAUUCGACCAUUGUACAGAUUUAUAAGUAAAAACAUUCUCAGCUGGUUGUCGAAAAAUAUCCACAGGUGAAAUCACCUGAUUCCAAAACGCUCUUCUAUGUAAUAUGGCUGCAUAAAAAAUGAUUAACGUGCAUAUAAAGCUGUACCAAAAAGUCCAAAAAAUUACGUAAAAAUCCAAAUAUCUCUCAAUAAAGAAUCAUUAUUAAAUAUUGGGUUAGCAACUAAGUAAUUGCGGAUUUCACUCAUAGAUGGCUACAAUUGAGUUUUUAGGUUUGCAGACGUAGUACAAAUGUAAAACACAUUUUGUUAUUUGGUAAUUGGUAAUUCGGCUGUCAAUCAGUAAAAAAUUUGAUCGGUUGCGUAGUUUUCGUUGGCGUUCGUUGAAAAAUGGAAAAUCAAAAGGAACAUUUACGUCAUAUUUUGCUUUUUUUAUUUCCGCAAAGGGAAAACCGCAUUUCAAGCUCAUAAAAAGUUAUGUGCUGCUUAUGGUGACGAAGCCUUAAAAGAACGGCAGUCCAGUUGAAGUUGAUGACGCCCUAAUCAAAGCAAUAAUCGAUUCGGAUCGUCACAGUACAACACGUGAGUUUGCGAAGAAGCUUCAUGUAUCACAUACAUGCAUUGAAAAUCGCUUACAACAACUUGGCUAUGUUCAAAAAAUGGGCAAUACAUUAAAGAAUAAAGUUAUUUAGUUCCAUGAAAAAAUUGUUCUUAAUUUUCUAAAAAAAAAUCCGCAAUUACUUAGUUGCCAACCCAAUAUACAAAAUAUUUGUUUUUGUGAGUUUUUCAAGUCAAAGAUAUUAUUAUUUUUUUUUUUUUGUGGGCAUUCUAUGGUUUUUAAUGUUACCAUAAAAAGUCUAAUUUGGUAUACCAACCCUGCCAAUACGCUCAAGCAGAAAAUCCAAGCAAUCAUCCCAUCACAUAAUUGACUGCCUGUCAAACAUACACCGAGGGUGCCUGUCAGAAUAUAAGAAGAAGAAGAGUGUUUUACUGAUAUUUUCGUGCUAUGCAUUGGGAUUGAGAUUAUGGCAUUCAAUCCACCAAAUUGCAAAAACAAAUUACAUUUGCGUUUUGUAUUUGUACCACUGCUAUCAUCUAGAAAUAAAACGACACUUACUAACAUCACUCAGCUGUUUUCAAUACUGUGGUAUAUUUUGCACCACUGCUCUUCAAAAAUGUUGC